GCGAAUGGGUGAGUAACACGUACUCAACGUACCCUUUAGCUUGAGAUAGCAGUUGGAAACAACUGAUAAUAUCAAAUACGCAUCUUUGUCGCAUGACGCAGAUGUAAAAGAACCUUCACGGGUUCGCUAAAGGAUCGGGGUGCGCAACAUUAGCUAGUUGGUGAGGUAACGGCCCACCAAGGCGAUGAUGUUUAGCGGGGUUGAGAGACUGAACCGCCACACUGGGACUGAGAUACGGCCCAGACUCCUACGGGAGGCAGCAGUAGGGAAUAUUCCACAAUGGACGAAAGUCUGAUGGAGCGACACAGCGUGCAGGAUGAAAGCCCCAUGGGUUGUAAACUGCUGUGGUAAGGGAAGAAAAAACCGAAGAGGAAAUGCUUUGGUCUUGACGGUACCUUAUUAGAAAGCAACGGCUAACUAUGUGCCAGCAGCCGCGGUAAUACAUAGGUUGCAAGCGUUAUCCGGAAUUAUUGGGCGUAAAGCGUCUGUAGGUUGUUUGUUAAGUCUGGCGUCAAAACUUGGGGCUCAACCCCAAAUCGCGUUAGAUACUGGCAUACUAGAGUUAUGUAGAGGUUAGCGGAAUUCCUUGUGAAGCGGUGAAAUGCGUAGAGAUAAGGAAGAACACCAAUAUGGCGAAGGCAGCUAACUGGACAUACACUGACACUGAGAGACGAAAGCGUGGGGAGCAAACAGGAUUAGAUACCCUGGUAGUCCACGCCCUAAACGAUGAUCAUUAGCUGAUGGAAAAUUCAUCGGCGCAGCUAACGCAUUAAAUGAUCCGCCUGAGUAGUACGUUCGCAAGAAUAAAACUUAAAGGAAUUGACGGGGAUCCGCACAAGCGGUGGAGCAUGUGGUUUAAUUUGAAGAUACGCGUAGAACCUUACCCACUCUUGACAUCUUCUGCA
This 905-nucleotide ribosomal RNA is filed under the name uncultured Mycoplasma sp. RNAcentral describes it as "bacterial SSU rRNA". It matches the Rfam family "Bacterial small subunit ribosomal RNA", at positions 98 to 995 of the family's 1533-position model. The record is from RNAcentral. Lineage: Bacteria; Bacillati; Mycoplasmatota; Mollicutes; Mycoplasmatales; Mycoplasmataceae.